GAAUGUACUUACUGUAAAUUGCUCUGGAUAAGAGCAUCUGCUAAAUGCCCAAAA
Non-coding RNA from Salmo salar (Atlantic salmon), 54 nucleotides. Lineage: Eukaryota; Metazoa; Chordata; Actinopteri; Salmoniformes; Salmonidae. The record is from Rfam.